AUUUUGUCUCUCUCCUGGAUUGGGUAAGAUCUCUAGCAUUUCCCUUUGAGUUUUGAUGCAUGCAAUAAAAGCCAUACUCAAUGCACCAUACUGUUGAAUACCAUUCAGAUAUUUCACGCUUAGUUUAGCUUUGCAUUUUCCCUGUAUUGACAUUGCAUGCCAUAUCACAGAUUGGCACUUAUGCUUAGCAAGAAUAAAUUUAAUCUGAACUGCAAAAGGAAAUGUGGAAAGAAUCUCUUUUAUUAUUAUACUUUUACUUUUUUUCUGUACAAUUUCUCUUCUCUGUGGUUAUUUCAGGCUCUCUUUUUGCAACAAAGGG
Molecule: unclassified non-coding RNA, 319 nt
Filed under: Hevea brasiliensis (rubber tree)
Lineage: Eukaryota; Viridiplantae; Streptophyta; Magnoliopsida; Malpighiales; Euphorbiaceae
Source: RNAcentral